ACGGGUGAGUAACGCGUGGUCAACCUUCCGUUGAAUGGGGGAUAACUAGCCGAAAGGUUAGCUAAUACCGCAUACGAUCUUUUGAAGGCAUCUUUAAAAGAUGAAAGGAGCAAUUCGUUCAACGACGGGACCGCGUCCCAUUAGCUAGAUGGUGGGGUAAUGGCCUACCAUGGCGACGAUGGGUAGCUGGUUUGAGAGAGCGACCAGCCACACUGGGACUGAGAAACGGCCCAG
This 234-nucleotide ribosomal RNA is filed under the name uncultured bacterium. Its description in RNAcentral is "partial 16S ribosomal RNA". It matches the Rfam family "Bacterial small subunit ribosomal RNA", at positions 102 to 334 of the family's 1533-position model. The record is from RNAcentral.